UCAGCUGAGGUACUCGCUACUCAGAGCCCAAGUAAGCACUGCAGCAACCAAUCCUAGGCUAGUGCAUUUUCCUACUGUAGUAACCAAUCCUAGGCUAGUGCCUUUUCCUACACAUCUUAAAACUACAACCCAUCUGCUAUAAUUGUUAGGAUGAUGUAAAGCCUGCUACCUGGCCAUUGCAACCACAUUCUUAAAUCUGAGACAUACUUUUAAGGAUGUUUCAACUCUGCUGUUGCAAUGACAAUGCAGUUCAGCAUAUGAAACUGAACAACCAAUCUACGAAAAAGUGCCUACUCGGCUACUUGGCAUGCGACGAGAAAGUAGUAAACUCGCCAGUGAGCAAAAGAACAACGUAGGGCUUUAUGGAUCUUCACCUUGCUGUUCGUCAUGCAUCAUCUUCAUCGGAUAUUUCUUUUCUCAACCGAUGUAUCAGAGACCUGGAAGAAAGCAACAACAAACAUAUAACUCGGUAAACUCGGGAAAGCAUAGUUGUCAGGUAGUAGUAGCUGUGGAUUAGUAUCGUUAGCCUGGAUGUCAAAAUAAAAGUGAGUUAAUGCACCUGAUAAAUAUUGCCUUGGCUAGGCUAUUCCUUUCAGCUUUCACCCAUCUCAGGAACCCACCCAACUAUCUUCACUCGAUGUGAAGGCAAUAUGCUGCCAUCAAUAGCUGGUGUAACUGUAUAUACCACAACAAGAAAAGCAGAAACGGUAAGGGAGUACAUGAAAACAAACAUAAGAGUGCGCAAUAGAAAAGAUUGAAAUACCAUUACAAAUAGUGACCACCUAUCGGUCUUGAAGCCUGGUAGAGCGCAUGUUUAUUCAUUUGAUUGAGAAGUAUCCACCUAUCGGUCGUGAAACUGAGUUUUUUUCUUUCAAGUUUCUAUCUCUUUCCCUUGGCGAAGCAUCUCACAAAAGGAAUAACUGUAAAUGAAAGAUCAAGAAAAACACAGGAAUAAUGUUACAUAUGUUGUUCCCAUUAAUUAUUCGGCAAUAUUAACAUAUGUUUAAUUUAUCUUUCUGAAUGAUGGAAUGAGGAGGGAUAUAUUUCAUGGAAUAGAGCAAAAGAUAGAAACUUGAAAGAAAAAAAUCAGUGCGUGCAGAUGAAAAAGAUCAUAUAAAAUGGGUAAUCACCAAUCAGGAAAUAUGCAUUAUAUAUAAUGCAUUUUCUUAAAAAAGCAUCAAUGAAUAAUCACCUGAACUAAAACAAUACAUCAUCCGUGAGUGAGAAAAUAGCAGGAACAUGAUUUGUGUUGUAGUUCUCUGGCUGAUACUACACAUGAGCUGUUGUUGCCGCUGCAGGAGCUCAGGGGCAAGGAGAGUAGACGCACGUGCUUGCUGGAGCUCCUUGGCAGCGGUGGUCACUGCUGCUGCUGCACCGCACUGGCCAGUCGAAAGCGCAGAUGCAACCAAGGGAGUCCCACUGCCCUAGCACAAGCGCACAUUAAAUGGAAAAACUCAAAUCCCCAACAAGAACUCAUUCUUUUACCACAAACUCACGGAAAAACACAAGGAAGACAAAGAUAUUUCAAGAAAGCGAUGCUUGUUCCCAGUGAGAAAUAAAAGAUCUUAUUUGAAAUAUUAUAGGCAGAAAGAAAACAUCACAGAGCAAAUGGAAAUAUUAAAUGUUAACUAAAUUUGAUGCUUCAGUGUUCUCGUUGGAGAAAAUGGAAAUCCAUAGACACAGGGUAUGAUCAUAGGAAACACUUAAAUGCUAAAGAACAUGAACUGAGAUACAUCAUACAUGCAACACCUCUAUGUAAUUUUGUUCCUAGAUUUCACUCAGUUAGAAGUGUUGGCUUUAUUAUCUUUACUACCUAUUGGUCAAGGUUAAAACACUGAAACAAAUUUCAAAUCCUUAUAUAUUAAUUCAGGUUGUGAUGGUAGAGGAACAUUUGGACAUUGACUGCAGCUUCUCAUUCUAUCAGAAUUCAGUUAAGCUUAGUCCAGUUCAUGGGUCUGAAAAGUAUAGAUCACAACCACUUCAAAUACAUAGCACUGGAAAUGAGAUCAGCAGCGAAAACCACGAAUUGCGGCCUAGUAUUACAUAGUUAGAAGAAAUUUGUAGCCACGGAUUAUAGGAAUCACAACAUAGCGAGGGCAUUCUAUCUACGUUCAGCUGUCUAUUUUCAACAAGAAUCUACUUAUCAAUUAGUAAAUUUUAGUUUCAGUAUAUUUAUGUGAUUAUCAAAAUAUAACUCUGCAAUUCAUGAAAUUUUAUAUGAAUCAUAUGCUGAUAACAUGUCGGGUUAACACAUAUGAAUGGAACAACUUGGAAAAAAUAUAUCCGGCUAAGAAGACAGACCUAUAGGAAAUGCAUCAUUCAACCACUGGCCCGGGGCCCUCUAAAUCUCUAAUCACAUUGACAAUCAGCAAGCUUUGCACAAGGAACCUGCAAAGGACCUUGAAGAAAACAGGACAAAAUAACAUAGAGCUCAGUGUGCUACUGCGAUGCGAAGAGAUCAUCAAUUAAUAGAAGCAUGAUAAGUUAUCAAUGGAUAAGUGCCUAACAGAACGGCUACAAACAUGAGCAAUAUGGAAAACAAAUGAAUUGGAACAUGGCAUAGAAGAUGUGGAAAGAAUAGGGGCAAUGACCUGAUAUGGUCCAUGUCGGCAUACUCAUAUGUGCUUCUCAUGCAAAGUCCAUACCUGCAUAGUCGCUGCUGACAAUUAUUUUUAAUUGCAGAAGAACCAUUUUUCCACAAUGAUUAAGCAAAUGGCGUCAUGAUUUCAGUAACAAACUUUUGAUUAGUGCCCACAAUUUCUUAAUACAUCCAGACAGUAACACACUCUUGUUACUCACAUUUUUUUCAAAAUCUGUUUCCAAAAAAGAAACAUAACUUGUAAUUUUUAGCAUCGAGAAGCAUAUACGAUAAAAAAAGGAGUUGGUAUACGUUCACCAAGCAUAGAAUCUAAAAAUGAAUAAGUGAUGCCUAUGCUUUUUCUAAGCAACUACAGAAUCUGAUUUCUCAAUAAAAGGUGCAACAAAGAUUUUAAUUUGUAGAGAAUGGAGUUGGAUACGCCCGACAUUCAUAUGAAAUAUGAAAAAAGAAGAUAUUAAAACUCCAUCUAUAAUGUAAUGCCCGUGGGUUGUAGCAGUCCCUAUAUAUAAUAUCCAUUGGUUGUAGCAGUCCCUAUGUACAUCGAACCUGACCCUUAAUUUUGUAUGAUAGGCCAACACAGAUGGUGAGUACCUGCACGUUUUUUGACAUAAUCGAAACUGCAGCAUAUAUAGGAAGUAGAUCUUUUUAUGCAUUGCAUUAUUAUACCUUUGGGUUGAAGAUUAUGUACAAUAUCAUUCACCUCUUCUCAUUGACCAAAAUAAGCAAUCAAAAUAUGCUCUAAAA
This 3343-nucleotide long non-coding RNA is filed under the name Triticum aestivum (bread wheat). RNAcentral describes it as "long non-coding RNA (TAES_LNC000921)". Lineage: Eukaryota; Viridiplantae; Streptophyta; Magnoliopsida; Poales; Poaceae. The record is from RNAcentral.